Molecule: small RNA, 455 nt
Filed under: Pongo abelii (Sumatran orangutan)
Lineage: Eukaryota; Metazoa; Chordata; Mammalia; Primates; Hominidae
Description: retained intron
Source: RNAcentral
AUGGCUCGGACUUCUGGAAGUCAGUGCACUUCACUGACUACAGCCAGCACACUCAGAUGGUCAUGGCCCUGACACUCCGCUGCCCACUGAAGCUGGAAGCUGCCCUCUGCCAGAGGCAUGACUGGCAUACCCUUUGCAAAGACCUCCCGAAUGCCACGGCUCGAGAGUCAGAUGGAUGGUAUGUUUUGGAGCAGGUGGACCUGCACCCCCAGCUCUGCUUCAAGGUACAACCAUGCGUAAGAAAAGAUGUGGCGUAGUGGGUAUUGCCUGGAGCUUGCUAACCUGCCAUUCCUGUAUUUCUCAGUUCUCUUUUGGAAACAGCAGCCAUGUUGAAUGCCCCCACCAGACUGGUGAGCCAAUAAGUGACCUCUGCUGGGACCCCCUGCCCCAUUUCAUCCUCACCCAACUGUGACCAAGCUAAACCCCAGCCCAGCCUUGAAUUCAUCACCUGAAGC